Molecule: small nucleolar RNA, 135 nt
Organism: Colius striatus (speckled mousebird)
Lineage: Eukaryota; Metazoa; Chordata; Aves; Coliiformes; Coliidae
Rfam family: Small nucleolar RNA SNORA46
About the family: ACA46 is a member of the H/ACA class of snoRNA that guide the sites of modification of uridines to pseudouridines.
Source: Rfam
AGCACUAUUUUUAAACCUAUUGGUGGAAUUGACCACCGUGGGUUACGCUGUAGUGCAAAAGAACCUCCUGGCUCUUCAGAGAAUAGCUGGCCUUGCUGUGUUUGGCUCAUGCUCCUCUGAAGCUAAGGAACACAA